RNAcentral lists this ribosomal RNA (443 nucleotides) under uncultured bacterium. Its description in RNAcentral is "partial 16S ribosomal RNA". It matches the Rfam family "Bacterial small subunit ribosomal RNA", at positions 338 to 795 of the family's 1533-position model. The record is from RNAcentral.
CCUACGGGUGGCAGCAGUGGGGAAUAUUGGACAAUGGAGGCAACUCUGACCCAGCAACGCCGCGUGAAUGAAGACGGUUUUCGGAUUGUAAAGUUCUUUUAUUAGGGAUGAAAACAAUGACGGUACCCAAAUAACAAGCCACGGCUAACUACGUGCCAGCAGCCGCGGUAAUACGUAGGGGGCAAGCGUUAUCCGGAAUUACUGGGGGUAAAGGGUGCGUAGGUGGUAAGGUAAGCUAUAUGUGAAAUACCUAGGCUUAACUUCAGCAUUGCCGCACGAACUAUUCGGCUAGAGUGCAGGAGCGGUAAGCGGAAUUCAUAGUGUAGCGGUGAAAUGCGUAGAUAUUAGGAAGAACACCAGUGGCGAAGGCGGCUUACUGGACUGAAACUGACGCUGAGGCACGAAAGCGUGGGGAGCGAACAGGAUUAGAUACCCCGGUAGUC